Flavonifractor plautii ATCC 29863 is the source of this 49-nucleotide non-coding RNA. The record is from Rfam. NCBI's taxonomy places the organism in Bacteria, Bacillati, Bacillota, Clostridia, Eubacteriales, Oscillospiraceae.
UCGGUUGUGGCUGCAACGGAGUGCUCUCGCGCACGGGCUGAAUGGACAU